AGAGAUGAAAAUAUACAUAUAAGGCUUAGAGGAUCCACUCCCCUGGGCAAUGUGGGAUAUCACAAUCCACCACCCUUAGGGGCCGGACGUCCUCGUCGGCACACUUUCGGCCAGGGAUUAGCUCUGAUACCAAAUUGUUACAUCCCGGCUUGGGCCCUCACCACAUCCUGAGCUCGACUCCACCGUAGCACAAUAUUGUUCGCUUUGGGCCCCGACCAUGCCCUCACGAUUUUGUUUUUGGGAACUCACACGAGAGCAUUCUCAGGAUAGGUCCAGGCACCCACCACAUG
RNAcentral lists this long non-coding RNA (290 nucleotides) under Malus domestica (apple). RNAcentral's name for it is "long non-coding RNA (MDOM_LNC016554)". The record is from RNAcentral. Lineage: Eukaryota; Viridiplantae; Streptophyta; Magnoliopsida; Rosales; Rosaceae.